This is a non-coding RNA of Pelobates cultripes (western spadefoot toad), 204 nucleotides long. The record is from the annotation of a GenBank genome assembly. Lineage: Eukaryota; Metazoa; Chordata; Amphibia; Anura; Pelobatidae.
GUUUUUGUUUGUAUUUUAUUGUUCUCAAUGUAUAUAUUUAAAUCCAAAUAAGUCACCAUAGUACUACUAAAAUCUGCCGUUAAAACUAUGCCUUCUUCAUUACAAUUUAUAAAAGAAAUAAAAUCCUUAGCUGAACUGACAGACCCCUUCCAAAUGAACAGCAGAUCAUCGAUAUAUCGAGAAUAGGAUACCAGGCUUUCCACC